RNAcentral lists this ribosomal RNA (400 nucleotides) under uncultured bacterium. RNAcentral describes it as "bacterial SSU rRNA". It matches the Rfam family "Bacterial small subunit ribosomal RNA", at positions 355 to 770 of the family's 1533-position model. The record is from RNAcentral.
UGGGGAAUUUUCCGCAAUGGGCGAAAGCCUGACGGAGCAAUACCGCGUGUGGGAGGACGCUUUUUGGAGUGUAAACCACUUUUAUUAGGGAAGAAGAACUGACGGUACCUAAUGAAUCAGCAUCGGCUAACUCCGUGCCAGCAGCCGCGGUAAUACGGGGGAUGCAAGCGUUAUCCGGAAUUAUUGGGCGUAAAGCGUCCGUAGGUGGCUUAUCAAGUCUGUUGUCAAAGCGUGCGGCUUAACCGCAUACGGGCGAUGGAAACUGAUGAGCUAGAGUGCGAUAGGGGUCAGGGGAAUUCCCGGUGUAGCGGUGAAAUGCGUAGAUAUCGGGAAGAACACCAGUGGCGAAAGCGCCUGACUGGGUCUGCACUGACACUGAGGGACGAAAGCUAGGGGAGCG